GCGCGGGGUAGCCUGGGCCAAGGGCACGCGGGCGCGGGGAGCGGGGGCGGGGCAGGCGCGGACCCUUCCUCCCCAGGACCCGCCAGACGCCCGGGGCCCCCAACGGCCAGCAAGGUCCGAAUCGACCCCAAGCUUGACCCGAGAGCAGCGGGGCCUCCGGGAAUGCCUGGCCAGGGCGGUGUCGCCGGGCGUGAAUGGGGGAGGGGGCGGCCGGGGCAGGACCCGGGUCAGGGCCACUCUGGUAGUCUCCUGCCCACCCCUCCCCAAGCCGAGCUCCCGGCCUCCCUCCCUCUCCCCCGUCCAGGGCUGAGGACUGGGGAAGCUGAGUCCCGGGACGGGUAUGGUGGGGGGGGGGGGGGCUUGGGAUGCAGCCGGACCUCCGGGAACAGCAGGGGGCCCUGGAGCCACCAGGAGGGAGAAGGCCCCGUCCCUGAGCCAGGCUCGCAGGAUGUUUAUCCCAGGAAAUCCAGAGGAUCAGAACCAGGCAGGACCCGGCACUGGGACGGAGGCAGCUGUCUGCGGGGCGUUUACAGUAGAUAUGUAUCACCUGUUCUGAGACGGAGCCGGGGAGGCUGUUUUUAAUCAUCCGGGAGGUUGUAAAAUGUUUCCCGACGUUACGAGGACAGCUGCUGGAAUAAUGAUGCAGGUAGCUGGCACACACGCAGUGCAAAGGUUUCACCAGGCAUGGUCUUCUACGCCUAUCACCUGGUCAAUACGAGCAGCAGCCACGUUAAGGUGUAAUACACACUGGCGUCAUCUAACAUUCCAUGUGAGGAAACUGAGGCACACAAAGGGCAACUGGCUUGCUCAAGGUCGCGUGAAUGGCAAAGUGUGGAUCUGGGAUUCAAGCCCAGACAAUUGGGCUCCAGAAUUGACUUUAUUAGUCAUGAUCACUCCAGAGAAAACAUCAAGCACUUUUCAUUACAUGUUUAAUGAAAAUGAUGUUAAAGUGGUUUUGUAGGAGAAAACAUUUCAUUCAUGUAAAUACAUUUUACUGCAUUCUAAAAUCUAGCAGGAAAAGAUGUGGCCUAACUACCGUCAAGAUCUGGGUACAUUUCAUUGGAAAUACAAGCACAUUGGACGUGGGAAAAUACUGGGGAACUUUACACGGAAGAGAAUGCAUCUGAUAGUCUGGCGAACUAGCAUUUGCUGGAUUUUUAGGACAUAUGGGAGGCCGGGUGCGGUGACCUCCCCCAGCAAUCCCAGCAAUCGGGGAGGCUGAGGCCGGUGGAUUGCUCGAGCCCAGGAGUCCAAGACUAGCCCGGGCAACAUGGUAAAACCUCACCUCUAUGAAAAAAAUACAAAAAAUUAGCCGGGCGUGGUGGUGCACAGCUGUAGUCUCAGCUACGUGGGAGGUUGAGGUGGGAGAAUCACCUGAGCCUGGGGAAGUCAAGGCUGCAGUGAGCCGAGAUUGCACCACUGCACUCCAGCCUGGGUAACAGAGUGAGACCCUGUCUCAACAAACAAAACACAAAAAUAUAUAUAUGCUGAAUGCUCAGUGAGCUGUAACAUGUGAGGCAGCCCCCAGGGGUGCAGAGAUGAACUGCUAAGAAGGCGUAUGUUCCCACGGGGUGCAGAGAUGAACCCCUGUCUGAGAAGGUGCAUGUACCCACGGGGUACAGAGAUGAACCUGUCUGAGAAGGCGCAUGUACCCACGGGGUGCAGAGAUGAACCCCUGUCUGAGAAGGCGCAUGUACCCACAGGGUGGAGAGAUGAACCCCUGUCUUGAGAAGGCGCAUAUACCCACGGGGUGCAGAGAUGAACCCCUGUCUGAGAAGGCGCAUGUACCCACGGGGUGCAGAGAUGAACCCCUGUCUGAGAAGGUGCAUGUACCCAUAGGGUGCAGAGAUGAACCCCUGUCUGAGAAGGCACAUGUACCCACGGGGUGCAGAGAUGAACCCCUGUCUGAGAAGGCGCAUGUACCCACGGGGUGCAGAGAUGAACCCCUGUCUGAGAAGGUGCAUGUACCCAUAGGGUGCAGAGAUGAACCCCUGUCUGAGAAGGCGCAUGUACCCACGGGGUGCAGAGAUGAACCCCUGUCUGAGAAGGUGCAUGUACCCACGGGGUGCAGAGAUGAACCCCUGUCUGAGAAGGCACAUGUACCCACGGGGGUGCAGAGAUGAACCUGUCUGAGAAGGCGCAUGUACCCACGGGGUGCAGAGAUGAACCCCUGUCUGAGAAGGUGCAUGUACCCAUAGGGUGCAGAGAUGAACCCCUGUCUGAGAAGGCGCAUGUACCCACGGGGUGCAGAGAUGAACCCCUGUCUGAGAAGGCGCAUGCACCCACGGGGUGCAGAGAUGAACCCCUGUCUGAGAAGGCGCAGGCACCCACGGGGUGCAGAGAUGAACCCGUGUCUGAGAAGGCGCAUGUACCCACGGGGGUGCAGAGAUGAACCUGUCUGAGAAGGCGCAUGUACCCACGGGGUGCAGAGAUGAACCCCUGUCUGAGAAGGUGCAUGUACCCAUAGGGUGCAGAGAUGAACCCCUGUCUGAGAAGGCGCAUGUACCCAAGGGGUGCAGAGAUGAACCCCUGUCUGAGAAGGCGCAUGUACCCACGGGGUGCAGAGAUGAACCCCUGUCUGAGAAGGCGCAUGUACCCACGGGGGUGCAGAGAUGAACCUCUGAGAAGGCGCAUGUACCCACAGGGUGCAGAGAUGAACCCCUGUCUGAGAAGGCGCAUGUACCCACGGGGUGCAGAGAUGAACCUCUAAGAAGGCGCAUGUACCCACGGGGUGCAGAGAUGAACCCCUGUCUGAGAAGGCGCAUGUACCUACGGGGGUGCAGAGAUGAACCUCUGAGAAGGUGCAUGUACCCAUGGGGUGCAGAGAUGAACCCGUCUGAGAAGGUGCAUGUACCCACGGGGUGCAGAGAUGAACCCCUGUCUGAGAAGGCGCAUAUACCCACGGGGGUGCAGAGAUGAACCUCUGAGAAGGCGCAUGUACCCACAGGGUGCAGAGAUGAACCCCUGUCUGAGAAGGCGCAUGUACCCACGGGGUGCAGAGAUGAACCCCUGUCUGAGAAGGCGCAUGUACCCACGG
This is a long non-coding RNA of Pan troglodytes (chimpanzee), 3037 nucleotides long. RefSeq lists it as uncharacterized. The transcript has 3 exons. NCBI's taxonomy places the organism in Eukaryota, Metazoa, Chordata, Mammalia, Primates, Hominidae. The record is from RefSeq and is a predicted model, not a curated record.